CCUACGGGAGGCUGCAGUAGGGAAUAUUGGGCAAUGGAGGCAACUCUGACCCAGCCAUGCCGCGUGCAGGAAGACGGUCCUCUGGAUUGUAAACUGCUUUUGAAUGGGAAGAAUGUGCUCCUUGCGAGGGGUAAUGACGGUACCAUUAGAAUAAGCCACGGCUAACUACGUGCCAGCAGCCGCGGUAAUACGUAGGUGGCGAGCGUUAUCCGGAUUUAUUGGGUUUAAAGGGUGCGUAGGCGGCUUAAUAAGUCGGUGGUUAAAAGUAGCAGCUUAACUGUUUUACAUGCCAUCGAUACUGUUGAGCUUGAGAUAUUUGGAGGCAGCUAGAAUUUCCGGUGUAGCGGUGAAAUGCAUAGAUACCGGAAGGAAUACCAAUUGCGAAGGCAGGUUGCUACGAAUAAACUGACGCUGAUGCACGAAAGCGUGGGGAUCAAACAGGAUUAGAUACCCCAGUAGUC
This 461-nucleotide ribosomal RNA is filed under the name Megasphaera cerevisiae. Its description in RNAcentral is "bacterial SSU rRNA". It matches the Rfam family "Bacterial small subunit ribosomal RNA", at positions 338 to 795 of the family's 1533-position model. The record is from RNAcentral. Lineage: Bacteria; Bacillati; Bacillota; Negativicutes; Veillonellales; Veillonellaceae.